RNAcentral lists this long non-coding RNA (387 nucleotides) under Setaria viridis. RNAcentral's name for it is "long non-coding RNA (SVIR_LNC000978)". The record is from RNAcentral. Lineage: Eukaryota; Viridiplantae; Streptophyta; Magnoliopsida; Poales; Poaceae.
AAUCUGCCUAAAGCCCAUUUCCUCCAGCUCCCUCAGCAGCUUCUCUUCAUUGUGACCAUCUAUGUCAAAAGGCUCAGGUGCUGCGGCGCUGGCUGCAGGUGGAGGCACAGGCACAGAAGCAGGGGCAGAUGCAGGUGCGGAUGCAGGGGCAGGCAUAGAAACAGGCACAGUUGUAGGCAGGAUAGGCACAUUAACAGGUGAAGGUCCAACCGGGGCAAGCAGCUCAGGUGCAGGUGCAGGUGCAGGUGCAGGCACACUAACAGAAGGCACAAAAGCAGCAGCAGUGGCACUGGACAUGGGAACAUCAACGACAAGGUUUGCAGGAGCUGCUGCAGGCAUAGAGGUAGCAACUACUAGAGCAGGCUGAGAUUUCUUGGGCUCUGGAAC